GCGUCUAUGCCUCCACCCAUGGGCAAGGAGCUGUAUGGGAGCUCCUCCCUUUUUGGAAAAUGAAUGUUCACUGCUUAGGGAUGUAUUAGGAAAUAUAUUAUUAAAAUCAGAGGAAGAGCUGCCGAGGAACGAUCAUUCUGAACUUGUGGGUGAAGGCAUUUACGUAACGUCUAAGAAAACCAUCGGGAAGGUUAAAGUUCAAGUUCGUAAAGUGAAAAUGGGGACGGAGCAACCCACUGGUUGCAUGUUUACAUCUUUAAAGUCUUCAUCCACGGUGAAGCUGGAAACAUUUCAGCAAAGGUUAUCAAAUGUGAAAUUGGUUGUUUCAUCCAAUAGAAAAAAAAGAAAAAAAGGAAAUAAAAAGAAAAAAAGGAAAAAAAAAGAAAAGAAAAAAAGCUGACAUUGUAAGAUGCUCUCUAUAUUGCAUAGAAGCGUUGCACACUUAAUUGUUGGGACUCGUAGAUACUUGAGAGAAGUACCCAAGCUCAUAAAGUGCAUCAACUUAUGAGUUGGUGCAAGAAUCAUAUUCAUGUUUGUUGAGAUUGAAAAGUUCACCCGAAGAGGAUGCAUUGGGAAUGUAACCGGUAUCUGCUUGCCAGAUGGAUUUGGAGAUGAUCUGAUAAUCGAAGUCCAUGAUUCGAAGGGAAAGUAUUGCGGGCAUGCUCGUGUUCAGGUGGCUGACAUUUCUGAUGAAUCGGGGAAUAAGCAUUGUCAGUGUGUUAUAUCUCGGGAACCAGAGCAAGAAAAAGCUGGGAAAAAUACAGCUAUACAUCAACUAUUCAACCACUGCAGAUGAAAGUAGUUGCAAGGUAUGCAGAUGAAUAUAGUUACAAGAUAUAUGCAGAUGUUUUAUAGUUCAU
Salvia splendens (bonfire salvia) is the source of this 860-nucleotide long non-coding RNA. RefSeq lists it as uncharacterized. Lineage: Eukaryota; Viridiplantae; Streptophyta; Magnoliopsida; Lamiales; Lamiaceae. The transcript has 7 exons. The record is from RefSeq and is a predicted model, not a curated record.